GGGGACCAUCCUCCAAGGCUAAAUACUCCUGACUGACCGAUAGUGAACCAGUACCGUGAGGGAAAGGCGAAAAGAACCCCGGCGAGGGGAGUGAAAAAGAACCUGAAACCGUGUACGUACAAGCAGUGGGAGCACGCUUAGGCGUGUGACUGCGUACCUUUUGUAUAAUGGGUCAGCGACUUAUAUUCUGUAGCAAGGUUAACCGAAUAGGGGAGCCGAAGGGAAACCGAGUCUUAACUGGGCGUUAAGUUGCAGGGUAUAGACCCGAAACCCGGUGAUCUAGCCAUGGGCAGGUUGAAGGUUGGGUAACACUAACUGGAGGACCGAACCGACUAAUGUUGAAAAAUUAGCGGAUGACUUGUGGCUGGGGGUGAAAGGCCAAUCAAACCGGGAGAUAGCUGGUUCUCCCCGAAAGCUAUUUAGGUAGCGCCUCGUGAAUUCAUCUCCGGGGGUAGAGCACUGUUUCGGCAAGGGGGUCAUCCCGACUUACCAACCCGAUGCAAACUGCGAAUACCGGAGAAUGUUAUCACGGGAGACACACGGCGGGUGCUAACGUCCGUCGUGAAGAGGGAAACAACCCAGACCGCCAGCUAAGGUCCCAAAGUCAUGGUUAAGUGGGAAACGAUGUGGGAAGGCCCAGACAGCCAGGAUGUUGGCUUAGAAGCAGCCAUCAUUUAAAGAAAGCGUAAUAGCUCACUGGUCGAGUCGGCCUGCGCGGAAGAUGUAACGGGGCUAAACCAUGCAC
Molecule: ribosomal RNA, 745 nt
Filed under: Escherichia coli
Lineage: Bacteria; Pseudomonadati; Pseudomonadota; Gammaproteobacteria; Enterobacterales; Enterobacteriaceae
Description: partial 23S ribosomal RNA
Rfam family: Bacterial large subunit ribosomal RNA
Source: RNAcentral